GGCUCACUUGUAAUUAAAUCUGUUGAGGGAGGUCAAGGAUAAUAAGAAAGGCUUUUUAAAUAUGUCAUUGGCCAAAAAAGCAAAAACAAAGAAAAAAAAAAGGGUGGAGGAAAAUGGGAUUCUGCUGCUGAAUGAAGUGGGCACCCUGGUAACAGAGCACUCUGAGAAGUCAAUGUCAUUGAAUGCCCUCUUUGCUUCAGACUUGCUAAGAGUGUCUCUUGGGAAUCUCAGACCCUGGAGGUAAGGGAGAGUAUAAAGAAAGGAAGACUUCCCUUUGAUCAAGGAGGGUCUGGUCAGAGACCAUCCAGGCAAAACAUAAUGCACACAAACCCAUGAGCCCUGGGAUGGACCCAUGUUGAGGGAACUGGUAGAGGUGACUGCUGAAUGCUCUCUACCAUCUUUGAAAAGUCAUGCAGAGCGCAGUGAACAUUGUGUACCUUGACUUCAGAAAGGCCUUUAACACUGUCUCCCAUAACAUGCUCAUAGGUAAACUUAGGAAAUGUGGGAUAGACAGUGAACAUCAAAAAAGACGAAUAAAAAACACUUCCUGACUUUCUGGAGUAUGCUUGGUAUGUCUCGAGCAUUUAUAGUCCAAAGCAAAAUUUAACAACAAAUCGAGGGCCGUUAUCAGUGAGGCAGGAGGUCCUGUGAGAACAAGGUGGUCUCAAAACAGGCCCACCUUCCCUGCCAGAAAGAUUUUCUACAAACUUAUUUCUGACAAAUUUGUUCCUGUGAACUCUCUUGUUUAUGGCCUUGAAAAUGUGCACCUGCAAACCUUACAGAUACAAAAAGAUGAUGGUGAGGAGACAUUGUCAUCAUUGAUUUUUCCCUGCCUGCUGUUUGCCGGUUCAAGAUUAAGACCUCUGGACGAGUGCAGUCAUAUCUCCAUCCCUCCUGGACCCACAGGACCUGAACUGGAACUCCUCAAAAUGGACCGGAUGCAACAGACAAUGAGGAGGAUUAAUAGCCAGCUGACUGGCAGAGCUCAGAGGGUUGUAAUCAUCUGUAUUCGGGAUAUAGUUGGAGGCCCAUAGUUAGCAACAUUACCCAGCGAUAGUUUCCAUGGAAAUGAAGACAUCACUUUCAGCAUGACCUACAUAAAUAUGUAAAGGUCAUGUGUCAAGAGGACAGGGCCAGGCUCAUUUCAGUGGUGACCAGUGAUCGGACAAAGGACAAUGAACACAAACUGGAACACAUGAAGUCCAAUAUAAACAAUAGAAAUAAAUAUUUUAUUUUACUUUGAGUGUGACA
This 1251-nucleotide long non-coding RNA is filed under the name Coturnix japonica (Japanese quail). RNAcentral's name for it is "lncRNA (ENSCJPG00005007244.1)". The record is from RNAcentral. Lineage: Eukaryota; Metazoa; Chordata; Aves; Galliformes; Phasianidae.